Long non-coding RNA from Chenopodium quinoa (quinoa), 1739 nucleotides. RefSeq lists it as uncharacterized. The record is from RefSeq and is a predicted model, not a curated record. NCBI's taxonomy places the organism in Eukaryota, Viridiplantae, Streptophyta, Magnoliopsida, Caryophyllales, Amaranthaceae. The transcript is spliced from 4 exons.
ACAACGGCAUAAACUUUGUACAUCAAAAGGUGGAGCUAACGCAAUGGCUUUAAGAAGCCGUUGCAUUAGGUGUACUAAUACAACAACCUGAAAGGCUAUUGCCACGGCAGUUCACUCCAUAUGAAAAUGCGCUUAAAGUUCACUCUCCUCUCUCUUUCUCUCCUUCUCCCUAUUCUCUUCCUCAAAGACGAAGGCAAUCAUCACCGCAGCCGCACACAUCCACAACCACCGUCGCUCACAAAAUUAAAUUCUCUCUUUCUUCUCCCUCCUCAUUCACUGAUGGUCACGGUGGUGAUGGUGGUCGCGAGUGAUAACGACAAUGCGGUUCGAUUUUUAGGGUUUUGAUUGGUAUUCAUGGGUUUCGAUUUGUAACUGUUGGCGGUGGUGGAAAGCAGCGAUGGUGAGUUUUGAUUUGUUAUUGAUGGCGGUGGUGGAGAGUUGCUGAACUAACGUCGCUCGAACUCCAGCUUCGUGCCCUGAUCUUUGAAUAAGCCUUCUCUCUUUAUCUCUCCUUUUUCUUCUUUCUCGCUACUUUCUCUCCCCUUUCAAUUAUUGUUCCAAUUUCGACAAUUAUACACUUAGGAAUUUUCAAUAAAUUGACAAUUUAAUGUUAAUCAGGUUCAUCAUCAUUGUCUGUGGUAGUUGGUGAGAGUGAUUUGCUAAUUGUUGGACCUGGUGUUCUUGGUCGCUUAGUAGCUCAAUAAUGGAGUCAGUUUAAGCGGGUCAAUACCAAGUUCAAUUGGUAAUCUUUCUAAGCUCUAUUGGCUGGAUCUAGCUGAAAACAAGCUUACUGGAACAUUACCUGUCUCAAAUGGGACUAAACCAGGUCUUGAUAUGCUGCAUAGUUGUAAGCACUUAUAUCAACUCUCUGGCUCAAUUCCACCUCAGCUACUCCAUGAAAAUAUGACACUUGCUUAUUCAUUUGUAAGUACCCUGAAGGUAAUUAAAUAAGAUAUAGAUGCUGACAUUGACAUAUAUUCACUGGUAACACUGCAAAUUUGAACGAAUACUGUUUUUUUUUUUUUAAAUUGCAUUGCAGGUUUGUUCUAUAUAUGUAUAUCUCUAAUCCCUUGUGUGUUCUUGCUUAGUUUUUACUCUUGAUUCCAAACUAAAUUUUCCUUUACUAAAUCUCUGUCUUGUAAUUAUACUAGAAUAUAGUUGAUUUUUUUCUUUUCUUGAAUAUCUCUAUUUAGAUUAAUAGUUUUAGAUAAAUUUUUAAGGUGUAUUGGGAUUACCUCGGAUUUACCUUAUACGAAGCAAGGGUAUUUUUAGUUGUAGUGCCAUGUUAUUGGUUUAAACCGCUGUUGUUAAAUUGUUAUGUUGUUUGGGUGGUGCUUGCUGCUAUUCCUUUUACCUUGUACAUUGAUGUUGUCGUUUCUACUAUAUAAUAUGCUACUACAUCUACUCUAUAAUGUUGCUACUACUGCCUCUGCUUUAUAAUGUUGUUGCUGCCCCUGCUGUAAUUUUGCUGACUUGCUGCCUUGCAGACGAUGACAACUCUCUCUCCAGCUACAAAACAUCUCUCUCCCCGGUUUCAAGAUAGAUUUUGGUUUUUGUAGUAUAUGUUGUAGCAGCCAAACAAAUGUUGAAAAUAUUGUAUUUGGGAACAGUGAUUUAGCUUUGAUAGGUUUUUUUUUUUUUUUAUCUCAAUAAAUUUAAUUAGUGAAAUUUGAUUUUGUAACUCUUCCCUUUAAGAGCAAUAAUGUACAAACCUUCAAUUUAUAUUAAUGAAAUUCCAA